Molecule: ribosomal RNA, 320 nt
Filed under: uncultured eukaryote
Lineage: Eukaryota
Description: partial 18S ribosomal RNA
Rfam family: Eukaryotic small subunit ribosomal RNA
Source: RNAcentral
CCCCUAGAUGUUCUGGGCCGCACGCGCGCUACACUGAACAGUUCAACAAGUCUUAACCUUGGCCGAUAGGUCUGGGUAAUCUUUGAACGCUGUUCGUGAUUGGGAUAGACCUUUGCAAUUAUGGGUCUUCAACGAGGAAUUCCUAGUAAACGCAAGUCAUCAGCUUGCAUUGAUUACGUCCCUGCCUUUUGUACACACCGCCCGUCGCACCUACCGAUUGAAUGGUCCGGUGAAAUCUCGGGACGGCGGCUUGGUCGCUUGCGUCCGACUGCUGAAACUUGAUUAAACCAUAUCAUUUAGAGGAAGGUGAAGUCGUANCA